UGUGUGUAACUGAGUUAUUCCUCGCCGCAUCCAGCGCGCUCCCUCAGUAUGGGGAGCGGAACACAGGCCGCAAUGUGGCCGAGAGAGAUAAGCGCACGGCAGCGGCCUCUUCAUUCCCGAUAAGCCCCUAAACCCAUUAUUUAUGAAAUGAUUCAUUAUUAUUUGGCUGUCGUGGGCUAUAUAGGCUUGUGGAGGGCAAAGCAUUAAAAAAAAAAAAAAGCAAACAGGCACAGCGUAACGGCCUGUAACAACGUAAGGUAGUGUAGUACUGUAGCUUGAGCUUUAGUUGAGGUGUUUUAAUUUUUUUUUUAUUAAAGAAACAAAAGCUCAGGUUAAGCUUCUGACCUAUUUAUAAUUCAAACAAAAGGCUUUUCGCUAAGCCCAUUUAUCCUGCAAAAAGAUAGCGUUAAGUGAUGAUAGCAGAGGGUCGUGUGUCUUUUAGCCUAUUUUUUUUUAUUUUUCAUUUUAUCCCAAAAAGAGUGAGCUAUAUCCAUUUUCCAUUCCUGCGCCCUGAGGCUGCACGUGCUACUGAUACAAUACACUAGUGAGCUGACGAGGGUGUAAUUAUGAUAACGAUGCCUUAAUAGAAAGGAAUUCAAUUCUUUAUCGAUUGAUUGAUUAAUAAAUAGGGGGAUGAAUAAAUGUGCUGUUGCGUGUAAUUGCUGGUGUUAGGGGCCUUGCAUGGUCGGCGGUUCCCCGGGGCCCGUGGGGAGGCAUCAUGGCUGUGGGAGAUAAAAGCGCGUGAGCUCCUGGACGCAUCAGAUAAAAGAGCCGCGCGCUAUCAGAGCGAGUGCAGGACAGUUGAAAUUGUAGCAGCGCUGUAUGCGUCUGGCUGGCAUGAUCCGAAGAGAAGCAGUGCUCUCCCGGGUCAUGAGCCGUGUCACCUGGUCCAGACUGAGGCUGGCCACCACCUCUCCAUUCACCUGAAGGAUCUCAUCGCCGAUGCCGAGGAGACCAACGUAGGGACUCUCACCACUGCCGUCACCCACUUUCUCUACAUACACCCCUGAGAAGAAAACAAUAGGCGGGUAAAUGUUGAUUUAAAGAGUUACCUGUGUCUGGUCGACCUUUGCCUCUUGAGAUGACAAAACCGAAGGGGCCAUUUGGGGGUCUGACAAGCUCCAGGAGGAGAGUUCCAUCAGGAAAGGCCUGAGUGACCCGGCCCACUGGACGCACCAUUCUGGAGGUAAGUACAUCUUCAACACUCAGUGCCCGAUGAAGCUCAAUCUGAGGACUGUCAGGGCUGCAAUAGCACAAAUUCAGCUUUAAUAAUCUGCAACCAGAAGUAGUCAAAAUGUUUUAUGUAGAUAUAUACCUGAUUUAUUUUGUUCUCUUUGUGUUUAUUUACACUUCAAUUUUCUUGGCCUACCUGGGUGCCAGGCCAUACGGUAUCUGCACCUCUCCCAGAAUUGUUGAGCGUUCUGUUCUUCUUUCCAAACUCUGCACAGAUGAGGCUUUGCGCAGUUGGGCCAGUGGCAGCACCUAGUGGCAAAUAAAUGGCACUGUUACAAACUCUUGUUUUUCCAUAUUGGCAAAAUUCUCCACAACAGCUAUUGGAACUGGAAACUUUUUGCUCUAACACUAACUGUGUGUUUUGAACCACACACAUCCGUAAAAUAUUGCCAAUGCAAUUGGCUGGAACAGAAAGUUGUUUCCAUUUGCUUAGUGUACUUUAACAGCUGCCAAGAGGACAACUAGGACAGAAGGUGGAAGGAAACAACCUGGAGAGCAUUUUUCGUGCUUCUAGAGUCAGGCGCAAUUUGUAAUACUUCAAAGCCUCAGUUGGUCCACUGUGGCAAAUAAGUAGUGAAAGGUACUUCAAAGCAUAACUUGUUAUGCUAUGUUAAGUUUAAAGAGAUGUAAAUAAGGUUUUUUCCUCCCUACGGUCUACUUUUCAAGGUAAAAAUCGCAUCUAUUUGAUGUUUGUUGUUGAUGUUCACAUGAAAGUAAACAGAAGACAAUAGCAGGUCCAGCAUAGCAGUCCUUGAACAUAACAUGGCAUGAAAAAAAAUUCUCACUGGGUGCAGGGUUUGCAGUGAGGGUGUCCUCUGGAUGCGGCUGGGAGGAGGUGGUCUGCGGGUGGGGCUUGGUGAAGUAGAACUGGCCCGGGGGGGAGCGGGUAUACUGAGCUGUUCCAUGCUGCUGGAGCGUCCUCCUUUCACCAGUCUGCCAACACUGUUCAGACCAAUGGAGGAAAAGAAGCGACGCAAGAAAAGCUUUGGCCGUCCAUCCAUCUUUCUGUAAUGUAGAGACAUUAUAUUCUUAUUACGUGGUAAUAUAGACACAGAUGUUUUAUCUAAGACACAGUAACUACUUCAACAUCUCUAUCAGCCAGAAAACAAUGAUUAUUUUUUUGAAUUAUUAUUUUGCAGAUCAUGAUGUUGCAUACAGUCUUGACAAGUAAAGCUUUUUAUUACCACAAGAGGGCAGGAUUGUCCUGUUUCCGAAAUACCCAACGCAACAAAAUCCUGUGGACUGUUAGGUCACCAGGCUUCACCAGCGACUGUUUUGUCUUGUCUUACCUGGACCCGUCACAGUUCUCCUCCCACACUGCCUCGGCUUUCAGGUGUUCUGCUCUCAACAGCUCGGCUCUGAGGCCCUCAGUCCGAGACAGAGCCAGGCCCCGGAGAGCAGGACGAAGCUCAGGACCAGAAGCAGAGUCUCCAAGACCUGCUGGGAGAUGCACUCAGCUGAUGUCAAAGAAUUAUUUUAAAGUGUUCUGUCACAUGUUUAAUUCUCUUCUAUCCUGAUCUUUUCCGCUUUAUUAUACUCUACAAGAUUAAACUUCGUAAUAUUCAAUUUUGCUCUGGUCUAGAGUUUGUUCUACUCAAAGAAGUUCUGUUUUAUUCUCUUCUGUUCUGUUCCAAUAUAAUGUAUGUAUUUUUUUCUUCUACCUUAAUAAUGAUUAAGAUCAUGUCAACUAGACAUUUCUGUCUUUAGGAUGAUAAAUACCAAUUACUUGGCAUAAUUAAUUAAACUUUAUAACAUUUAACUCAAUUGAAUGUGCAUUUACAGUAUUAUAAGAAUGAGUAUUUUCUCUGACCCUGCUUGAAAAGAGAUCUUCCUAAACUAAAGAAACGUAAUGCUCUAUUGCUUGUUUUAUGAGCUCAGUACAAUGAUCUGGAUAUCGUCUAGACUUGAUCUUUUAGACAUGCACAGCAGAUUUUUGUCUGCACUAGAUACAUGAUCAAAAAUGUGUUUGGUUUGGUCCAGGGGAGAGUCUGGGUAGGGCAUGCAGGAGUAUAUGGGGGGUGGGUGCCCUUUGUCAUGAUGAUUGCUUUUGUUGACAUAUGAUUGGGAGUACCAAUCAGCAGUAUCAGCAAAAGACUGGAAAACAAUAGACAGGCUAGGACAAAACAAUAUUUAGUUCUUGUCAAAUCACAACCUCUAAUGUUGAAAAAUAAAGCCAAUGCAAAAGAA
This is a long non-coding RNA of Labrus mixtus (cuckoo wrasse), 3420 nucleotides long. RefSeq lists it as uncharacterized. NCBI's taxonomy places the organism in Eukaryota, Metazoa, Chordata, Actinopteri, Labriformes, Labridae. The record is from RefSeq and is a predicted model, not a curated record. The transcript has 3 exons.